GCUUUCGUGGUGUAACGGUAACACACUCGGCUCGUAUUUCGAGAGUUUUAGGUUCGAGUGCUGGCGAGAGCA
RNAcentral lists this transfer RNA (72 nucleotides) under Stegodyphus mimosarum. It matches the Rfam family "tRNA". Rfam says of the family: Transfer RNA (tRNA) molecules are approximately 80 nucleotides in length. Their secondary structure includes four short double-helical elements and three loops (D, anti-codon, and T loops). Further hydrogen bonds mediate the characteristic L-shaped molecular structure. tRNAs have two regions of fundamental functional importance: the anti-codon, which is responsible for specific mRNA codon recognition, and the 3' end, to which the tRNAs corresponding amino acid is attached (by aminoacyl-tRNA synthetases). tRNAs cope with the degeneracy of the genetic code in two manners: having more than one tRNA (with a specific anti-codon) for a particular amino acid; and 'wobble' base-pairing, i.e. permitting non-standard base-pairing at the 3rd anti-codon position. The record is from Rfam by way of RNAcentral. Lineage: Eukaryota; Metazoa; Arthropoda; Arachnida; Araneae; Eresidae.